Molecule: ribosomal RNA, 507 nt
Filed under: uncultured Lactobacillus sp.
Lineage: Bacteria; Bacillati; Bacillota; Bacilli; Lactobacillales; Lactobacillaceae
Description: bacterial SSU rRNA
Rfam family: Bacterial small subunit ribosomal RNA
Source: RNAcentral
CACGCUGGCGGCGUGCCUAAUACAUGCAAGUUGAACGCGUUUUUUCAAUCAUCGUAGCUUGCUACACCGAUUGAAAAUUGAGUGGCGAACGGGUGAGUAACACGUGGGUAACCUGCCCAAAAGAGGGGGAUAACACUUGGAAACAGGUGCUAAUACCGCAUAACCAUGAUGACCGCAUGGUCAUUAUGUAAAAGAUGGUUUCGGCUAUCACUUUUGGAUGGACCCGCGGCGUAUUAACUUGUUGGUGGGGUAACGGCCUACCAAGGUAAUGAUACGUAGCCGAACUGAGAGGUUGAUCGGCCACAUUGGGACUGAGACACGGCCCAAACUCCUACGGGAGGCAGCAGUAGGGAAUCUUCCACAAUGGGCGCAAGCCUGAUGGAGCAACGCCGCGUGAGUGAAGAAGGUCUUCGGAUCGUAAAACUCUGUUGUUAGAGAAGAACAUGCGAGAGAGUAACCGUUCUUGUAUUGACGGUAUCUAACCAGAAAGCCACGGCUAACUACGUG